UCGGGAAUUUUGGGCAAUGGGCGAAAGCCUGAUCCAGCCAUGCCGCGUGAGUGACGAAGGCCUUAGGGUUGUAAAACUCUUUCGUCGGGGACGAUAAUGACGGUACCUGAAGAAGAAGCUCCGGCUAACUUCGUGCCAGCAGCCGCGGUAAUACGAAGGGAGCUAGCGUUGUUCGGAAUCACUGGGCGUAAAGCGCACGUAGGCGGAUAGUUAAGUCAGGGGUGAAAUCCUGGGGCUCAACCCCAGAACUGCCUUUGAUACUGGCUGUCUCGAGGUCGAGAGAGGUUGGUGGAAUUCCUAGUGUAGAGGUGAAAUUCGUAGAUAUUAGGAAGAACACCAGUGGCGAAGGCGGCCAACUGGCUCGAUACUGACGCUGAGGCACGAAAGCGUGGGGAGCAAACAGGAUUAGAUACCCCCGUAGUCCCUGAGCGGGCUGGCAAGGCGCAU
RNAcentral lists this ribosomal RNA (447 nucleotides) under uncultured bacterium. Its description in RNAcentral is "bacterial SSU rRNA". It matches the Rfam family "Bacterial small subunit ribosomal RNA", at positions 355 to 825 of the family's 1533-position model. The record is from RNAcentral.